AGUGAACGCUGGCGGUAGGCCUAACACAUGCAAGUCGAACGGGAGCACAGUAAGAGCUUGCUCUUACGGGUGGCGAGUGGCGGACGGGUGAGGAAUACAUCGGAAUCUACUUUUUCGUGGGGGAUAACGUAGGGAAACUUACGCUAAUACCGCAUACGACCUACGGGUGAAAGCAGGGGAUCUUCUGACCUUGCGCGAUUGAAUGAGCCGAUGUCGGAUUAGCUAGUUGGCUGGGUAAAGGCCCACCAAGGCGACGAUCCGUAGCUGGUAUGAGAGGAUGAUCACGCACACUGGCACUGAGACAGGGCCCAGAGUCCUGGAGGAGGCAGCGGUGGAGAAUAUUGAACAAGGGGCGCAAGCCUAAUCCAGCAAUACCGGCGAGAUGAAGAAGGCCUAAGGGUUGUAAAGCCCUUAAGUUGGGAAAGAAAAGCAGCAGGUUAAUACCCCACUGUACUGACGGUACCCAAAGAAUAAGCACCGGCUAACUUCGUG
Molecule: ribosomal RNA, 492 nt
Filed under: uncultured bacterium
Lineage: Bacteria
Description: partial 16S ribosomal RNA
Rfam family: Bacterial small subunit ribosomal RNA
Source: RNAcentral